Mirounga angustirostris (Northern elephant seal) is the source of this 1978-nucleotide long non-coding RNA. RefSeq lists it as uncharacterized. The transcript has 6 exons. NCBI's taxonomy places the organism in Eukaryota, Metazoa, Chordata, Mammalia, Carnivora, Phocidae. The record is from RefSeq and is a predicted model, not a curated record.
AUAGCUCGGGCAAGCACCAUACUAAAAAUCCCAGAUGAGUGAGAAGUGGAUAUCUUUCUUUUGAAAAAGUGUGUGUGGAAAACCUUUUAUAAAAGGAGGCUCCUUGAAUCUCAGACAAGUCAGUUGGAAAGAGGAGGCAACAGAUAGGCAUCAGAAAUGGACUCCCAUAAAACCAUCCUUGCACAGACAUUCCUUGGAAAGGCUUCAGACACUCAGGACUACAUCUAGAAAAAGCAUGUUCCCAGAAGAUAGCUCUGAAGGAGGGCUACCAAGAGGCAGCACCUUGAAAAUGCACGUGUUGUCCUAUUCUCUGAUUAGCCUCCCUGACAGAAGCCAAUCUGUAACUGAGAACUGAUGCAUCUUGAAGGCGGAAGUGCCAACCAUGGCAUGGCACACCUGGCUGGCAUGCGACUUCAGAGUUCCUCCCGUGCUUAUGAAGAUGAGGCGUGACUAGUCCAUGGCCUUUCCUGCGCACCAUUCGAAAAUUUCAUCGAUCAGGAAAAGAUGAGGAAGUAAAAAGGUACAAAAGCAGGAAGAAUGGGGACAAAUCUAGAAGAAGGGAAGAGAAAAAUUAAAGCUAAGUGGAAUAAAAUAAAAGCGGGUGACCAGCCUCGGUAGUAAAAUGUGUAUGUUAGAUUUUUCAAUUCCCUCUAAAGAUUUACUCUUUUUUAUAUUCAUGUUCAUGGCUUCCUGUUUUGCAAAUAAGGAAACUGAGGUAAGUAUUCUUUAACCAUCUCUUUGGUGCACUCAUGUCAGGAUUCUUGAGCCUGCUUGUCCUAAAUACUGCAGUUUUAAGGCCCCCAGAAAGAGAAUGACACUGCAGUCAUUAUGGACACAUCAUGUUAAUUUUGAUUUGAUUAAUUAUUGAGAAAUGGACUAGUGAGCUUAUGUUGUGUAUUUUUUUUUUUUAAAGAUUUUAUUUAUUUAUUUGAUAGAGAGAGAGACAGCGAGAGAGGGAACACAAGCAGGGGGAGUGGGAGAGGGAGAAGCAGGCUUCCUGCUGAGCAGGGAGCCUGAUGCGGGGCUUGAUCCUAGGAUUCUGGGAUCAUGACCCGAGCCGAAGGCAGACGCUUAACGACUGAGCCACCCAGGUGCCCCUAUGUUGUGUAUUUUAUUCAGUCCUUUAGGAAAGGCAAAAUAAGUAUAAUGGCCUCUGUCUCAAAGAAUCGGUAGUCUAAUGCAGAAGUCAAGAUUAGUACAUAGAUGAUGAUAACGCAGGUUGUAGCUGCAGAGUAACUGGAAAAUUAGUCCAUGGAUUUAUCUGUUUAGUAUACAGAUAAUCAAUAAUAUUGAGGAAAUAGAGGGAACUGGGAAUGAAAGAAAGUCAAUGGGAUCCUAGAAAAUUUGAGCUGAAAGAUAUUAACAGGCAUAUAACAAAUUUUAAUAGGAUCUCAGAGUUGGAGGGGAGCUAAGUCAUCUUAACCUUUCUUCUUCUUUUUUUUUUUUUAGAUUUUAUUUAUUUAUUUGAGAGAGAGAGAGCACGAGCAGGGGGAGGAGCAGAGGGAGAGGGAGAAAUAGACUCCCUGCUGAGCAGGGAGCCCAACGCAGAGCUCGAUCCAAGGCCCCCCCCGGGAUCAUGAUGUGAGCUGAAGGCAGAUGCUUGGACUGAGCCACCCAGAGUUUAAGUUUUGUUAUUUGAAAUUUUAUUCAUCUUUGAAUUUACUUGAGAAGAGAAUUCAAAAUUACUACGGGUCUUACUUUAGGGAAAAGAAAACAAUGUACAGUGAAAAGAGAAAAACGUCUCAUUGAAGCGUGUAUUGGUGAGGAAGAACUCGAAUGAGCAUGAACUGGAUGAACUUGCAUAACAGAAGGUGGGAGUGCUGAUAGACGGAUUCCAUCCUCUUAAAUGCAUAGGUAAAAGUAUAUCCUUUUUAUUAUCAUAAACAUUAUGCCCAAUUAACCAGCCCCAAAGUUAAACCACAGGUAGGCACCUUUCUAUGCUUCAUCCUCUUUGCUUCAGUCCUUCUUCAGACCCAGG